RNAcentral lists this ribosomal RNA (438 nucleotides) under Triticum aestivum (bread wheat). RNAcentral's name for it is "partial small subunit ribosomal RNA". The record is from RNAcentral. Lineage: Eukaryota; Viridiplantae; Streptophyta; Magnoliopsida; Poales; Poaceae.
AUGCCCUCGGCAGCAGCAGUCCGAGAGGUCGGAGCCAAGAAAGGAACAGAGGAACAGAGCCGCGCCCUGUGGGCGCGCCGGCUGACGGCCUCGUGGAGGAGGCGGCGCGGGGCGCGACAGCGGACGGGAGCCGGGAGGGAUGCAGCCGUCUUCCUCGCGCCGAGGGGAGCUGCUGUUCGGGGAUCUCUGGGAAAUCAACGAGGGCGCCACCUGAAGAUCUCCAUGGCCAGCGCCGCGGAGCUCAGGUACCUGCGCCUGCCCGCUGAUGGAAUGGCCGUAGCCGCACGCCGAGACGCGGAUGCCGCGGGCCGACCCGUGCGCCGGUCGGACCAGCGCGGUGGCAUCGCCUGCCCCGCUCGGCUGGUACACGGCCAAGGGCUUGCCCCCUGUGAAUUCGAGUUCGAGUUCAUUUCCAGUUCAGCCGGAGACAGCUGGUAA